This 552-nucleotide long non-coding RNA is filed under the name Phasianus colchicus (ring-necked pheasant). RNAcentral's name for it is "lncRNA (ENSPCLG00000020682.1)". The record is from RNAcentral. Lineage: Eukaryota; Metazoa; Chordata; Aves; Galliformes; Phasianidae.
CAGAACCUGAUGGCUUCCUCAGAGCUGUGAAAUGUUUUUAUUCCACACCACUGGGUCCCACCCUGGCAAGGGAGCAAAAAUGUGCUUCUGCUGCCAGCCCAGAGGAGGGUGUUGCUAGAGCUCAGACUCCUGCUUCUACCACCUCCACAACUUCUAUCCCUAAUAAAUUCUACUACACCCAAAUCAGAAGUGCACUCACAAGAGCAGAAGCUUUGGGCCUGCAGCCAACAGCAAGGCUGAAGCCCAUUCUGGCUCUGUCCUGGAGCUGGCAUCCAUGACCUCAUUUGCCCUUGCCCUCUGUGUGCCAUGUGGGAUGAGCCACAACCUGUGGAUAGCAUCUCCUCAAGCAAACAGUGUCAUAUGGACAGCUUGGUCAGUGGGGACCUUGGGAAACUACUCAGAUAUUUUAGCACUUCAGUCCUAAGUACUUCAUCUGAAUCUAAAGCGCUUGGUUUGAGCUUCGUGGUGCACUGCAUCCUGAGUCUUCAGCUGCCUGAGUUUCUGUCCCUUCCUACCUCAUGCCAGUCACCCCUGCCAAUGGAAGUGAGUUGA